AGAGUUUGAUCCUGGCUCAGAACGAACGCUGGCGGCAGGCUUAACACAUGCAAGUCGAACGAACCUUCGGGUUAGUGGCGGACGGGUGAGUAACGCGUGGGAAUCUGCCCUCAGGAGGGGGAUAACGGCUGGAAACGGCCGCUAAUACCCCAUAUGCCGAGAGGUGAAAUGAAUUUCGCCUGAGGAUGAGCCCGCGUCUGAUUAGCUAGUUGGUGAGGUAAGAGCUCACCAAGGCAUCGAUCAGUAGCUGGUCUGAGAGGAUGAUCAGCCACACUGGGACUGAGACACGGCCCAGACUCCUACGGGAGGCAGCAGUGGGGAAUUUUCCGCAAUGGGCGAAAGCCUGACGGAGCAACGCCGCGUGAGGGAUGAAGGCCUCUGGGCUGUAAACCUCUUUUCUCAAGGAAGAAGAUCUGACGGUACUUGAGGAAUAAGCCACGGCUAAUUCCGUGCCAGCAGCCGCGGUAAUACGGGAGUGGCAAGCGUUAUCCGGAAUUAUUGGGCGUAAAGCGUCCGCAGGCGGCCCUUCAAGUCUGCUGUUAAAGCGUGGAGCUUAACUCCAUCAUGGCAGUGGAAACUGUUGGGCUUGAGUGUGGUAGGGGCAGAGGGAAUUCCCGGUGUAGCGGUGAAAUGCGUAGAUAUCGGGAAGAACACCAGUGGCGAAGGCGCUCUGCAGGGCCAUAACUGACGCUCAUGGACGAAAGCCAGGGGAGCGAAAGGGAUUAGAUACCCCUGUAGUCCUGGCCGUAAACGAUGAACACUAGGUGUCGGGGGAAUCGACCCCCUCGGUGUCGUAGCCAACGCGUUAAGUGUUCCGCCUGGGGAGUACGCACGCAAGUGUGAAACUCAAAGGAAUUGACGGGGGCCCGCACAAGCGGUGGAGUAUGUGGUUUAAUUCGAUGCAACGCGAAGAACCUUACCAGGGUUUGACAUCCUGCGAAUCUCUUGGAAACGAGAGAGUGCCUUCGGGAACGCAGUGACAGGUGGUGCAUGGCUGUCGUCAGCUCGUGUCGUGAGAUGUUGGGUUAAAUCCCGCAACGAGCGCAACCCACGUCUUUAGUUGCCAGCAUUUAGUUGGGCACUCUAGAGAGACCGCCGGUGAUAAACCGGAGGAAGGUGUGGAUGACGUCAAGUCAUCAUGCCCCUUACAUCCUGGGCUACACACGUACUACAAUGCUACGGACAAAGAGCAGCAAGUUCGCGAGGACAAGCAAAUCUCAUAAACCGUGGCUCAGUUCAGAUCGUAGGCUGCAACUCGCCUACGUGAAGGAGGAAUCGCUAGUAAUCGCAGGUCAGCAUACUGCGGUGAAUACGUUCCCGGGCCUUGUACACACCGCCCGUCACACCAUGGAAGUUGGCCACGCCCGAAGCCGUUACUCCAACCCUUGUGGAGGAGGACGUCGAAGGUGGGGCUGAUGACUGGGGUGAAGUCGUAACAAGGUA
This 1443-nucleotide ribosomal RNA is filed under the name uncultured bacterium. RNAcentral's name for it is "16S ribosomal RNA". It matches the Rfam family "Bacterial small subunit ribosomal RNA". The record is from RNAcentral.